RNAcentral lists this ribosomal RNA (460 nucleotides) under uncultured bacterium. RNAcentral describes it as "partial 16S ribosomal RNA". It matches the Rfam family "Bacterial small subunit ribosomal RNA", at positions 338 to 795 of the family's 1533-position model. The record is from RNAcentral.
CCUACGGGAGGCAGCAGUGAGGAAUAUUGGUCAAUGGGCUUACGCCUGAACCAGCCAAGUCGCGUGAGGGAAGACUGCCCUAUGGGUUGUAAACCUCUUUUGUCAGGGAGCAAUUGGCGCUACGUGUAGCGUUAUCGAGAGUACCUGAAGAAAAAGCAUCGGCUAACUCCGUGCCAGCAGCCGCGGUAAUACGGAGGAUGCGAGCGUUAUCCGGAUUUAUUGGGUUUAAAGGGUGCGCAGGCGGAAUGUCAAGUCAGCGGUAAAAUUUCGGGGCUCAACCCCGUCGUGCCGUUGAAACUGGCGUUCUUGAGUGAGCGAGAAGUAUGCGGAAUGCGUGGUGUAGCGGUGAAAUGCAUAGAUAUCGCGCAGAACCCCGAUUGCGAAGGCAGCGUGCCGUGCCGCCACUGACGCUGAGGCACGAAAGCGCGGGGAUCGAACAGGAUUAGAUACCCCGGUAGUC